Molecule: ribosomal RNA, 524 nt
Filed under: uncultured bacterium
Lineage: Bacteria
Description: bacterial SSU rRNA
Rfam family: Bacterial small subunit ribosomal RNA
Source: RNAcentral
UGGGCCCGAGUUUGAUCAUGGCUCAGAUUGAACGCUGGCGGCAUGCCUUACACAUGCAAGUCGAACGGCAGCGCGGGGCAACCUGGCGGCGAGUGGCGAACGGGUGAGUAAUAUAUCGGAACGUACCCUGGAGUGGGGGAUAACGUAGCGAAAGUUACGCUAAUACCGCAUACGAUCUAAGGAUGAAAGUGGGGGAUCGCAAGACCUCAUGCUCCUGGAGCGGCCGAUAUCUGAUUAGCUAGUUGGUGGGGUAAAGGCCUACCAAGGCAUCGAUCAGUAGCUGGUCUGAGAGGACGACCAGCCACACUGGAACUGAGACACGGUCCAGACUCCUACGGGAGGCAGCAGUGGGGAAUUUUGGACAAUGGGCGCAAGCCUGAUCCAGCAAUGCCGCGUGAGUGAAGAAGGCCUUCGGGUUGUAAAGCUCUUUUGUCAGGGAAGAAACGGUGAGGGCUAAUAUCCUUUGCUAAUGACGGUACCUGAAGAAUAAGCACCGGCUAACUACGUGCCAGCAGCCGCGGUUA